Molecule: ribosomal RNA, 392 nt
Filed under: uncultured bacterium
Lineage: Bacteria
Description: partial 16S ribosomal RNA
Rfam family: Bacterial small subunit ribosomal RNA
Source: RNAcentral
AUACGUAGGUGGCAAGCGUUAUCCGGAAUUAUUGGGCGUAAAGAGGGAGCAGGCGGCAGCAAGGGUCUGUGGUGAAAGCCUGAAGCUUAACUUCAGUAAGCCAUAGAAACCAGGCAGCUAGAGUGCAGGAGAGGAUCGUGGAAUUCCAUGUGUAGCGGUGAAAUGCGUAGAUAUAUGGAGGAACCCCAGUGGCGAAGGCGACGUUCUGGCCUGCAACUGACGCUCAGUCCCGAAAGCGUGGGGAACAAAUAGGAUUAGAUCCCCUAGUAUUCCACGCCGUAAACGAUGAGUACUAAGUGUUGGAUGUCAAAGUUCAGUGCUGCAGUUAACGCAAUAAGUACUCCGCCUGAGUAGUACGUUCGCAAGAAUGAAACUCAAAUGAAUUGACGGGG